AACCUUUACAAUGCACGCAAGUGCGAUAAGGGGACCCCGAGUGUUGGUGCCUAGCAUCAACUGUCUAACUGUCUAAAAAACAGUUAUUAGCAAGAGCCGGGUAAGACCGGUGCCAGCCGCCGCGGUAACACCGGCAGCUCAAGUGGUAGCCAUUUUUAUUGGGCCUAAAGCGUUCGUAGCCGGUUUGAUAAGUCUCUGGUGAAAUCCUAUGGCUUAACUGUGGGAAUUGCUGGAGAUACUAUUAGACUUGAGGUCGGGAGAGGUUAGCGGUACUCCCAGGGUAGGGGUGAAA
Molecule: ribosomal RNA, 292 nt
Filed under: uncultured archaeon
Lineage: Archaea
Description: partial 16S ribosomal RNA
Rfam family: Archaeal small subunit ribosomal RNA
Source: RNAcentral